UACGUAGGUAGCAAGCGUUGUCCGGAUUUACUGGGUGUAAAGGGCGUGCAGCCGGGUGUGCAAGUCAGGUGUGAAAUGCAGGGGCUUAACCCCUGAACUGCACUUGAAACUGUAUAUCUUGAGUACCGGAGGGGCAAUCGGAAUUCAUAGUGUAGCGGUGAAAUGCGUAGAUAUUAGGAGGGACACCAGUGGCGAAGGCGGGUUGCUGGAAGGCAACUGACGGUGAGGCGCGAAAGCGUGGGGAGCAAAC
RNAcentral lists this ribosomal RNA (250 nucleotides) under uncultured prokaryote. RNAcentral describes it as "partial 16S ribosomal RNA". It matches the Rfam family "Bacterial small subunit ribosomal RNA", at positions 524 to 773 of the family's 1533-position model. The record is from RNAcentral.